UGGGGAAUAUUGCACAAUGGGCGCAAGCCUGAUGCAGCAAUGCCGCGUGAGUGAAGACGGCCUUAGGGUUGUAAAACUCUUUCGCUAGGGAAGAUAAUGACGGUACCUAGUAAAGAAGUCCCGGCUAACUCCGUGCCAGCAGCCGCGGUAAUACGGAGGGGACUAGCGUUGUUCGGAAUUACUGGGCGUAAAGCGCACGUAGGCGGACCAGAAAGUUGGGGGUGAAAUCCCGGGGGCUCAACCCCGGAACUGCCUUGGAUACUGUCGGGCUCGAGGCUGGAAGAGGGUGAUGGAAUUCCCGGUGUAGCGGUGAAAUGCGUAGAUAUUUGGAGGAACACCAGUGGCGAAGGCGGCUCACUGGCUCGAUACUGACGCUGAGGUGCGAAAGUGUGGGGAGCAAACAGGAUUAGAUACCCUGGUAGUCCACACCGUAAACGAUGAAUGCCAGUCGUCGGUAGCAUGCUAUUCGGUGACACACCUAACGGAUUAAGCAUUCCGCCUGGGGAGUACGGUCGCAG
RNAcentral lists this ribosomal RNA (518 nucleotides) under uncultured bacterium. Its description in RNAcentral is "bacterial SSU rRNA". It matches the Rfam family "Bacterial small subunit ribosomal RNA", at positions 355 to 891 of the family's 1533-position model. The record is from RNAcentral.